AAAACCUCCUGUCUCAAAAUAAGAAGGGCUGGGGAUGUGGCUCAGUGGCUAAGCACCCUGGGUUCAGUCCCUGGUAUUAAAAAAAAAAAAAAAAAAGAAGGAAGGAGAUGAGAAUGAGAAGUCUCCAGGCAGAUCACAUCAGCCCAGUAGUUUACAGUAUAGAUUUUGUCUUUUAUUCUUAGUGCUGUGUAAAGCUCUUAAAGAUUAUAAACAAGAGCACCCUAUGAUAUAAUAUAAUUUUUAAAGUGUUAUGGCUGCUUCUGAAGAAUGACUUGUAGGGGGGCAAAAGUGGAAGCAAAGAGAGAGGUAGAGGCUAUUGCAGAAGCCCAGGUGAGUGGUGUUUUAGUUGGGUUGUGGAGAUGGUGAACAUGAACAGAAACAGUGACAUCAACAUAUAUUUUAGACAUAGAAUCAUAAGGACUUGCUAAUGAGUUGGAUUUGGAUAUGAAGGAAAGGAAGAAUCAAGGGUAAGACUUAGUUUUGGCCUAAAAAAUUGGGUGGAUGAUAAAGAUCCAUUCCAGAUUAUAUCUAGAAUCUGACCCUGUUUUACUAGGUUUUCCACCAUUUCCCAGCCAAAGUUUCCAUCCACAUUAUCUCUGAUCUGGACUAUUGCAAAAGCUCCCCAAAUGGUCUCAGUUUUCAUCCAUACUGUGCCUCAUUUAAUCUAUUUACAGAGACAAGAGUAUUCCUAUUAAAAUAGAAAUCUACUUAUGUCCUGCAUGUGUUGAAAAUCCUCCCUCUUCCUCAGAAUAAAAGUUCAU
RNAcentral lists this long non-coding RNA (761 nucleotides) under Marmota monax (woodchuck). Lineage: Eukaryota; Metazoa; Chordata; Mammalia; Rodentia; Sciuridae. The record is from RNAcentral.